RNAcentral lists this ribosomal RNA (1173 nucleotides) under Triticum aestivum (bread wheat). RNAcentral describes it as "partial small subunit ribosomal RNA". The record is from RNAcentral. Lineage: Eukaryota; Viridiplantae; Streptophyta; Magnoliopsida; Poales; Poaceae.
AUGCUCCGACUCAGGUGCUGCCUCCUCACCCAGCUCCUCUCAUCUCCCUCCGCGUCUUCCGCCUCCCACCUCCGCCGCCUCAUAUCCGCCGCCGCGCCCGCCGUCUCCCCGAACCCUAGCUUCGCCGUGGAGGAGUACCUCGUCGCCACCUGCGGCCUCACCCGACCACAGGCCGCCAAGGCCUCUCCAAAGCUCUCCCAUCUCAAAUCCCCCGACAACCCCGACGCCGUCCUCUCCUUCCUCGCUGGUCUCGGCCUCUCCACCGCCGAUGUCGCCGCCCUCGUCGCCAAGGACCCGCAGUUCCUCUGCGCCAAAGUGGACAAGACCCUGGCCCCCGUCGUCGCCGGGCUCACUGGCCUCGGCCUCUCGCGCUCCGACAUCGCGCGCCUCGUCUCGCUCUCCCGUAAAAGCUUCCGCUAUAGAUCCAUCGUCUCCAAGCUGCACUACUACAUGCCUCUCUUUGGGUCCUCUAAGAACCUCCUCCGGGCCCUCAAGAGGAACCCCUACCUUCUCUCGUCUGACCUCGACGGCAUCGUCAAGCCCAAUGUCGCUUAUCUGCACGAGUGCGGGCUAGGUGCUUGUGACAUUGCCAAGCUAUGCAGCAAUCAACCGCGCCUGCUCACCACCAAUCCAGAGUGCAUCCAGGGCAUUGUGGCACGCGCUCAAAACAUAGGUGUGCCCCGUGGCUCUGCGAUGUUCAGGCACGCGCUGCAUGCUAUUGCAUUCCAUAGUGAGGAGGAGGUCGCAGCUAGAGUAGACUACUUGAAGAGCACAUUCAGGUGGUCGGAUGCUGAGGUGGGCAUUGCUGUGUCUAAAGCUCCAUCGGUGCUGACGAGGGCCAAGGAAUCGCUGCAGCGCAGGUCCGAGUUCCUCAUCUCUGAGGUGGGCUUGGAACCGGCUUACAUUGCUCAACAGCCAGCAAUUGUCUGCUACAGCCUAGAGGGCCGGCUCAGGCCCCGGUACUAUGCUGUAAAGUUUCUCAACGAAAAUGGAUUGCUCAAGCGCAACCCGAGCUACAGCACUGUUUUCACGGGGACCGAAAAGACAUUCAGGGAGAAGUUCAUAUGCCCUCAUAAGGAAGCUGCACCACACCUCCAAGAAGACUAUGAUGCUGCUUGUAAAGGGCAACUGCCGACUAAUUUCAGAUUCACACGAGCCAAGAACGGACUAUGA